This 756-nucleotide ribosomal RNA is filed under the name uncultured Arcobacter sp. Its description in RNAcentral is "bacterial SSU rRNA". It matches the Rfam family "Bacterial small subunit ribosomal RNA", at positions 90 to 866 of the family's 1533-position model. Lineage: Bacteria; Pseudomonadati; Campylobacterota; Epsilonproteobacteria; Campylobacterales; Arcobacteraceae. The record is from RNAcentral.
UUCGAUUGGCGGACGGGUGAGUAAUAUAUAGGUAAUGUGCCCUAGAGAAGAGGAUAACAGUUGGAAACGACUGCUAAUACUCUAUAUGCCUUUAAGACAAAAGUUUGCAAGGGAAAUAUUUAUAGCUCUAGGAUCGGCCUGUACGGUAUCAGCUAGUUGGUGAGGUAAUGGCUCACCAAGGCAAUGACGCCUAACUGGUUUGAGAGGAUGAUCAGUCACACUGGAACUGAGACACGGUCCAGACUCCUACGGGAGGCAGCAGUGGGGAAUAUUGCACAAUGGGGGAAACCCUGAUGCAGCAACGCCGCGUGGAGGAUGACACAUUUCGGUGCGUAAACUCCUUUUAUAUAGGAAGAUAAUGACGGUACUAUAUGAAUAAGCGCCGGCUAACUCCGUGCCAGCAGCCGCGGUAAUACGGAGGGCGCAAGCGUUACUCGGAAUCACUGGGCGUAAAGAGCGUGUAGGCGGGUUAAUAAGUUUGAAGUGAAAUCCUAUGGCUCAACCAUAGAACUGCUUUGAAAACUGUUAACCUAGAAUAUGGGAGAGGUAGAUGGAAUUUCUGGUGUAGGGGUAAAAUCCGUAGAGAUCAGAAGGAAUACCGAUUGCGAAGGCGAUCUACUGGAACAUUAUUGACGCUGAGACGCGAAAGCGUGGGGAGCAAACAGGAUUAGAUACCCUGGUAGUCCACGCCCUAAACGAUGUACACUAGUUGUUGUGAGGCUAGACCUUGCAGUAAUGCAGUAAACACAUUAAGUG